GCCGAGCUGAGUAACGUAAGCUUAUAACCUAAGUGGGGGCAUCAAGGUGAUUGAAGAAGGCUUUGGCUUGCUAAGCUGGACUGGAGGUUUGCAUCUUGCUGGCUUGCCCACUCCAAGCCGGGAGUUUGAACCAUGAGGCCUUGCCUUUGCGAAGGCAAGGGUUUCCUAGUUCCUAAAUAGGAGGGCACCGCGUGAGGCUGGUUUCACAGAGCAGCGACAACCUCCGAUUCUUGACAGUGGAGGGAUAACAGACGGCUGCGCCUCCAGCCCCAAUCGAGCUUGGUGAGCCUUGCUCUUGAACAAUCAUUUUU
Molecule: non-coding RNA, 311 nt
Organism: Vigna angularis (adzuki bean)
Lineage: Eukaryota; Viridiplantae; Streptophyta; Magnoliopsida; Fabales; Fabaceae
Source: Rfam